CUCCUUUGACGUUAGCGGCGGACGGGUGAGUAACACGUGGGUAACCUACCUAUAAGACUGGGAUAACUUCGGGAAACCGGAGCUAAUACCGGAUAAUAUUUCGAACCGCAUGGUUCAUAGUGAAAGGUGGUUUUGCUAUCACUUAUAGAUGGACCCGCGCCGUAUUAGCUAGUUGGUAAGGUAACGGCUUACCAAGGCGACGAUACGUAGCCGACCUGAGAGGGUGAUCGGCCACACUGGAACUGAGACACGGUCCAGACUCCUACGGGAGGCAGCAGGC
Molecule: ribosomal RNA, 280 nt
Filed under: uncultured Staphylococcus sp.
Lineage: Bacteria; Bacillati; Bacillota; Bacilli; Caryophanales; Staphylococcaceae
Description: partial 16S ribosomal RNA
Rfam family: Bacterial small subunit ribosomal RNA
Source: RNAcentral